ACACGUUUAGACAACUAUUUAUGUCUAUUCACUUCACCGGGUCGAUACAUCCUGUCAAAACAAAGACUCCAAGCGAAUCCUGCCGAAGUUAAUGUUUUCAGUGGAGAUCCGUUGCGUAUUCAGGCAUCCCAAGAGAUUGCUAACCCGAGACCAUUGUCUUCCAUCCCUGGACAAUCGGAAGGCUUUGCAAUCAACUUUGGAAGGAUAUAUCUGAGCUGGUAUAUAGAAGCAAUGGACUCAGAAGAAACCUGGGGAAGACUGCAGAAUAACACCGACAAGGCAACAGCUGCAGAGAAAGGCUGUGCCAACUUUGCCUUUUAAGAACCACAAGGCUUAAAAGUCUUUUAGAAAGCCUCUCAGCCUGUUUCCAAAGUUCCAAAUUCGCCUGUAAAGAAAUUGGACCCCCGAACUACAGCCAUGAGUGCAUGACUUUAUGACCUGCUGAACAUGCAUCUCUUCGAAGUAAUCCAACACUCAAGAAGCUUGACUCCAUCCAGGACAAAGUUGCCUGCUUGAUUGGCACCCUAUCCACAAACAUUCACUUCCUCU
Long non-coding RNA from Carcharodon carcharias (great white shark), 549 nucleotides. RefSeq lists it as uncharacterized. The transcript is spliced from 3 exons. Lineage: Eukaryota; Metazoa; Chordata; Chondrichthyes; Lamniformes; Lamnidae. The record is from RefSeq and is a predicted model, not a curated record.